RNAcentral lists this long non-coding RNA (318 nucleotides) under Nicotiana benthamiana. RNAcentral describes it as "long non-coding RNA (NBEN_LNC024565)". Lineage: Eukaryota; Viridiplantae; Streptophyta; Magnoliopsida; Solanales; Solanaceae. The record is from RNAcentral.
AUUCUUUAGCUUCCUUCUGUUUGUACCUUUUAUUUACACCCAUUAUAUUCCAAAUUAACCACUUCACUGACCAUAGCUGGUUCCCCCUUCAUCUAGGGGGUGAUCUGCCCAACUCACUGUUCCAACUUCAAAUCUAUUAGACAUCACAAUAGGGGAUAAUGGUGGAAAAUUUGUGAUGUUAAAGACUGGAGAUAUCUGUGUAGUAACACCCUUCUGUUUGUUCAACUGUUCCUCCACACCAUCAUGGGAUCUUGGUUGUUUUGCAUUUUCUAGUUGCUGGACUUGAUUUCCCUGACUGCUCUGGGCCACAGGAGCUGG